UGGGGAAUUUUGGACAAUGGGGGAAACCCUGAUCCAGCAAUGCCGCGUGCAGGAUGAAGGCCUUCGGGUUGUAAACUGCUUUUGUACGGAACGAAAAGUCUUGGGCUAAUACACUGGGAUAAUGACGGUACCGUAAGAAUAAGCACCGGCUAACUACGUGCCAGCAGCCGCGGUAAUACGUAGGGUGCAAGCGUUAAUCGGAAUUACUGGGCGUAAAGCGUGCGCAGGCGGUUUUGUAAGACAGGUGUGAAAGCCCCGGGCUCAACCUGUGAACUG
RNAcentral lists this ribosomal RNA (276 nucleotides) under uncultured prokaryote. RNAcentral's name for it is "partial 16S ribosomal RNA". It matches the Rfam family "Bacterial small subunit ribosomal RNA", at positions 355 to 623 of the family's 1533-position model. The record is from RNAcentral.